UACGUAGGGGGCUAGCGUUGUCCGGAUUUAUUGGGCGUAAAGAGCGUGUGGGCGGCCAGGUAGGUCUGCUGUGAAAACUCGAGGCUCAACCUCGAGACGUCGGCGGAAACCAUCUGGCUAGAGUCCGGAAGAGGAGAGUGGAAUUCCUGGUGUAGCGGUGAAAUGCGCAGAUAUCAGGAAGAACACCCGUGGCGAAGGCGGCGCUCUGGGACGGUACUGACGCUGAGACGCGAAAGCGUGGGGAGCGAACAGG
Molecule: ribosomal RNA, 253 nt
Filed under: uncultured bacterium
Lineage: Bacteria
Description: partial 16S ribosomal RNA
Rfam family: Bacterial small subunit ribosomal RNA
Source: RNAcentral